UGGGUGUCACGUCCACACCAGGAUUUGGCUGACAGGAAGGGAGCCAGUCUCCGCCCUGGGCAGAGACGGGGCUGGUGGCUCGGGACCCAGCUCUCAGCCCCAGACGGAUCAGCUCUCGCAGCAUGGAGCUAACGCUCCUUCUGCCGCUGCUGGCCGCUUUCCAGAUUCUCCCCAGGCCAGUGCUCCCUGCAGGUGCCCCUGCGGCCCCAUCACUGUCCCUGAACCCCCAGAAGCAGGAGUACCUCCCCGGAGACACUGUUGAAAUCAAGUGCUCUGCUCCUCCUUCGGUGGAUAGAGUUGAAGGAUUCCAGUACUACAGCAAUAUUGGAAAGGCCAUCUCAGUCCCAGCUUCAUCCAGGAGAAGCCACACUUACAGCAUAAACCUCGCAGGGCCUAAGGAUGAGGGGUCGUACCAGUGCGACUACUGGAUAGGCCAAGCCGGUGCUUGGAAAAGGUCCAGCAGGAGCGAUGCUGUCCUCAUCAGAGUAAAAGACUUCCCUCCCUGGCCGGCGCUGAGUGUGGAUCCUCCAUCCGGAGUGGUGAGCAAAGGGCUCCCCCUGAUCAUCACUUGCAUGGCCCCCAGCAGUGCUGGCGAGCGGAGGUUUCACUUCUACAAGGAAGGAGCUGAGCUCGUCGCCGGGGAUGUGGGGUCUGAGGUCAGCACAGCAGAGACCAGGACUGGCUCUAUGACGCUCAGCAUCCCGCAAGCUGGUCCCAGCAGCACCGGGGAAUUCACCUGUGCGUACGAGGAGAACAUGAGCGGGAGGUGGAUUCUGUCCCUAAGAAGCUUGGCUGUGAAUGUUACCGUGACAGCCCACGGCCAUUACUGGGUCCGGGACCUCGUUGUGGGUGGGUCGUUCUUCACCAUUAAUGGCCUCAUCUUCCUCAUCUCCCACCUCUGCAUGAAGGGCAAAGGUUCCAAGGAGGCGCACACAGGCAGCUCAGACCCAUCUCAAUCAGAUUACUACUCAGUUCCGAUUCAGCUGGUCACUGGUCAGUCUGGUCAUUCUGUGACCGCCAAGGCAAACCACAUCUCCAGCCCCAUGCCCCAGCCCCAUAGGAAUGACUACAUGGAGGAGAUCUGAAGGCUCAGAUACUGACUGUGAAUAUUCCUCCCCUGCUCACAGAUGGCUGGCCAGCUCCACAGCUCAGCUGGGUUCAGGGGAGACUGUUCUGCUCCUGAAAUACUACAGACAAACUGUGUGUCACUUUCUCUGCUGCAAAAUUGGGAGAAACCAGAUGGGCAUGUUUUGAGGAAAGAAAGAAAGAAAGAUUAUAUUCUCAUUUCUCCUCAGAUAUUCCUUCUCUAUGUAUAUUCAAAGCUGUAUGAAUCCGUGUAAAUCCCCCCAUCUCCAGCUUUUAAUUAGACCUUUUUUUUUAGCCCCUUCUGGUCUCUGACUCUUGUUUCCUUCACUGUGGUUAUUUUGUCCCCCACAU
Molecule: long non-coding RNA, 1437 nt
Filed under: Chelonoidis abingdonii (Abingdon island giant tortoise)
Lineage: Eukaryota; Metazoa; Chordata; Testudines; Testudinidae
Description: lncRNA (ENSCABG00000005693.1)
Source: RNAcentral